CAAGCGAACAAGUGCAUGUGGUGGAUGCCUUGGCGAUCACAGGCGAUGAAGGACGCGGUAGCCUGCGAAAAGCUACGGGGAGCUGGCAAACGAGCUUUGAUCCGUAGAUGUCCGAAUGGGGAAACCCACUCCUUAUGGAGUAUCCAUGGCUGAAUACAUAGGCCAUGUGAAGCGAACGCGGUGAACUGAAACAUCUAAGUAACCGCAGGAAAAGAAAUCAACCGAGAUUCCCAAAGUAGUGGCGAGCGAAAUGGGAUGAGCCUUGCACUCUUUAUUUGUAUUGUUAGCCGAACGCUCUGGAAAGUGCGGCCAUAGCAGGUGAUAGCCCUGUAGGCGAAAACAGUAUGAAAGAACUAGGUGUGCGACAAGUAGGGCGGGACACGUGAAAUCCUGUCUGAAGAUGGGGGGACCAUCCUCCAAGGCUAAAUACUCGUGAUCGACCGAUAGUGAACCAGUACCGUGAGGGAAAGGCGAAAAGAACCCCGGGAGGGGAGUGAAAUAGAUCCUGAAACCGCAUGCAUACAAACAGUCGGAGCCUCUUUAUGGGGUGACGGCGUACCUUUUGUAUAAUGGGUCAGCGACUUACGUUCAGUAGCAAGCUUAACCGUAUAGGGCAGGCGUAGCGAAAGCGAGUCCGAAUAGGGCGUUCAGUUGCUGGGCGUAGACCCGAAACCAGGUGAUCUAUCCAUGGCCAGGAUGAAGGUGCGGUAACACGUACUGGAGGUCCGAACCCACUAACGUUGAAAAGUUAGGGGAUGAGCUGUGGAUAGGGGUGAAAGGCUAAACAAACCUGGAAAUAGCUGGUUCUCUCCGAAAACUAUUUAGGUAGUGCCUCGUGUCUCACCUUCGGGGGUAGAGCACUGUCAUGGUUGGGGGGUCUAUUGCAGAUUACCCCGCCAUAGCAAACUCCGAAUACCGAAGAGUGCAAUCACGGGAGACAGACAUCGGGUGCUAACGUCCGGUGUCAAGAGGGAAACAACCCAGACCGCCAGCUAAGGUCCCCAAAUAUGGCUAAGUGGGAAACGAAGUGGGAAGGCUAAAACAGUCAGGAGGUUGGCUUAGAAGCAGCCACCCUUUAAAGAAAGCGUAAUAGCUCACUGAUCGAGUCGUCCUGCGCGGAAGAUGUAACGGGGCUAAGCCAUAUACCGAAGCUGCGGAUGCGAGCUAGUCUCGCAUGGUAGGAGAGCGUUCCGUAAGCCUGCGAAGGUGCCUUGUAAAGGGUGCUGGAGGUAUCGGAAGUGCGAAUGCUGACAUGAGUAGCGAUAAAGGGGGUGAAAGGCCCCCUCGCCGUAAGCCCAAGGUUUCCUACGCAACGUUCAUCGGCGUAGGGUGAGUCGGCCCCUAAGGCGAGGCAGAAAUGCGUAGCUGAUGGGAAGCAGGUCAAUAUUCCUGCACCGUCGUUAGAUGCGAUGGGGGGACGGAUCGCGGAAGGUUGUCCGGGUGUUGGAAGUCCCGGUCGCUGCAUUGGAGAAGGCGCUUAGGCAAAUCCGGGCGCAGGAUUCAAGGGUGUGGCGCGAGCUCCCUCGGGAGCGAAGCAAUUGGAAGUGGUUCCAAGAAAAGCCUCUAAGCUUCAGUCUAACGAUGACCGUACCGCAAACCGACACAGGUGGGCGAGAUGAGUAUUCUAAGGCGCUUGAGAGAACUCGGGAGAAGGAACUCGGCAAAUUGGUACCGUAACUUCGGGAUAAGGUACGCCCUUGUAGCUUGACCAGCCUGCGCUGGAAGGGUGAAGGGGUUGCAAUAAACUGGUGGCUGCGACUGUUUAAUAAAAACACAGCACUCUGCAAACACGAAAGUGGACGUAUAGGGUGUGACGCCUGCCCGGUGCCGGAAGAUUAAAUGAUGGGGUGCAAGCUCUUGAUUGAAGUCCCGGUAAACGGCGGCCGUAACUAUAACGGUCCUAAGGUAGCGAAAUUCCUUGUCGGGUAAGUUCCGACCUGCACGAAUGGCGUAACGAUGGCCACACUGUCUCCUCCCGAGACUCAGCGAAGUUGAAGUGUUUGUGAUGAUGCAAUCUACCCGCGGCUAGACGGAAAGACCCCAUGAACCUUUACUGUAGCUUUGCAUUGGACUUUGAACCGAUCUGUGUAGGAUAGGUGGGAGGCUAUGAAACCGGAACGCCAGUUUCGGUGGAGCCGUCCUUGAAAUACCACCCUGGUUUGUUUGAGGUUCUAACCUUGGCCCGUGAUCCGGGUCGGGGACAGUGCAUGGUAGGCAGUUUGACUGGGGCGGUCUCCUCCCAAAGCGUAACGGAGGAGUACGAAGGUACGCUAGGUACGGUCGGAAAUCGUGCUGAUAGUGCAAUGGCAUAAGCGUGCUUAACUGCGAGACCGACAAGUCGAGCAGGUGCGAAAGCAGGUCAUAGUGAUCCGGUGGUUCUGUAUGGAAGGGCCAUCGCUCAACGGAUAAAAGGUACUCUGGGGAUAACAGGCUGAUACCGCCCAAGAGUUCAUAUCGACGGCGGUGUUUGGCACCUCGAUGUCGGCUCAUCUCAUCCUGGGGCUGUAGCCGGUCCCAAGGGUAUGGCUGUUCGCCAUUUAAAGAGGUACGUGAGCUGGGUUUAAAACGUCGUGAGACAGUUUGGUCCCUAUCUGCCGUGGGCGUUGGAUAUUUGAAGGGGGCUGCUCCUAGUACGAGAGGACCGGAGUGGACGAACCUCUGGUGUACCGGUUGUGACGCCAGUCGCAUCGCCGGGUAGCUAUGUUCGGAAGAGAUAACCGCUGAAAGCAUCUAAGCGGGAAACUCGCCUUAAGAUGAGAUAUCCCUGGAGGCUUGACCUCCUUGAAGGGUCGUUCGAGACCAGGACGUUGAUAGGUCGGGUGUGUAAGCGCAGUAAUGCGUUCAGCUAACCGAUACUAAUUGCCCGUAAGGCUUGAUCC
Molecule: ribosomal RNA, 2879 nt
Filed under: Burkholderia ubonensis MSMB22
Lineage: Bacteria; Pseudomonadati; Pseudomonadota; Betaproteobacteria; Burkholderiales; Burkholderiaceae
Description: bacterial LSU rRNA
Rfam family: Bacterial large subunit ribosomal RNA
Source: RNAcentral